This 90-nucleotide transfer RNA is filed under the name Stegodyphus mimosarum. It matches the Rfam family "tRNA". From Rfam's summary of the family: Transfer RNA (tRNA) molecules are approximately 80 nucleotides in length. Their secondary structure includes four short double-helical elements and three loops (D, anti-codon, and T loops). Further hydrogen bonds mediate the characteristic L-shaped molecular structure. tRNAs have two regions of fundamental functional importance: the anti-codon, which is responsible for specific mRNA codon recognition, and the 3' end, to which the tRNAs corresponding amino acid is attached (by aminoacyl-tRNA synthetases). tRNAs cope with the degeneracy of the genetic code in two manners: having more than one tRNA (with a specific anti-codon) for a particular amino acid; and 'wobble' base-pairing, i.e. permitting non-standard base-pairing at the 3rd anti-codon position. The record is from Rfam by way of RNAcentral. Lineage: Eukaryota; Metazoa; Arthropoda; Arachnida; Araneae; Eresidae.
GCCUUCGUGGUGUAGUAGUCAGCACGCUGAGCUUCGUGGUGUAGUGGGCGCGUAUUCCAGAGGUCCGUGGUUCGAGUCCCAGCGAAGACG